GAUGAACGCUGGCGGCGUGCCUAAUACAUGCAAGUCGAGCGAACGGACGAGAAGCUUGCUUCUCUGAUGUUAGCGGCGGACGGGUGAGUCACACGUGGAUAACCUACCUAUAAGACUGGGAUAACUUCGGGAAACCGGAGCUAAUACCGGAUAAUAUCUUGAACCGCAUGGUUCAAAAGUAAAAGACGGUCUUGCUGUCACUUAUAGAUGGAUCCGCGCUGCAUUAGCUAGUUGGUAAGGUAACGGCUUACCAAGGCAACGAUGCAUAGCCGACCUGAGAGGGUGAUCGGCCACACUGGAACUGAGACACGGUCCAGACUCCUACGGGAGGCAGCAGUAGGGAAUCUUCCGCAAUGGGCGAAAGCCUGACGGAGCAACGCCGCGUGAGUGAUGAAGGUCUUCGGAUCGUAAAGCUCUGUUAUUAGGGAAGAACAUAUGUGUAAGUAACUGUGCACAUCUUGACGGUACCUAAUCAGAAAGCCACGGCUAACUACGUG
RNAcentral lists this ribosomal RNA (497 nucleotides) under uncultured bacterium. RNAcentral describes it as "partial 16S ribosomal RNA". It matches the Rfam family "Bacterial small subunit ribosomal RNA", at positions 28 to 507 of the family's 1533-position model. The record is from RNAcentral.